CUUGUUGGUGAGGUAACGGCUCACCAAGGCAACGAUGGUUAGCUGGUCUGAGAGGAUGAUCAGCCACACUGGCACUGAAACACGGGCCAGACUCCUACGGGAGGCAGCAGUGAGGAAUUUUGCGCAAUGGGGAAAACCCUGACGCAGCAACGCCGCGUGAGUGAUGAAGGCCUUCGGGUCGUAAAGCUCUGUCAAGUGGGAAGAAUCCGUUGGAUGAUAACAACAUCCGGCGCUGACGGUACCACUGAAGGAAGCACCGGCUAACUCCGUGCCAGCAGCCGCGGUAAUACGGAGGGUGCAAGCGUUAUUCGGAUUUACUGGGCGUAAAGAGCGCGUAGGCGUACUGUAAGUCAAAUGUGAAAGCCCGGGGCUUAACCCCGGAAGUGCAUUUGAAACUAUAGUACUUGAGUAUGGGAGAGGGAAGCGGAAUUCCUGGUGUAGCGGUGAAGUGCGUAGAUAUCAGGAGGAACACCCGUGGCGAAGGCGGCUUCCUGGACCAAUACUGACGCUGAGGCGCGAAGGCGUGGGGAGCAAACAGGAUUAGAUACCCUGGUAGUCCACGCAGUAAACGGUGAGCACUAGGUGUAGCGGGUAUUGACCCCUGCUGUGCCGCAGCUAACGCAUUAAGUGCUCCGCCUGGGGAGUACGGUCGCAAGGUUAAAACUCAAAGGAAUUGACGGGGGCCCGCACAAGCGGUGGAGCAUGUGGUUUAAUUCGACGCAACGCGAAGAACCUUACCUGGGUUUGACAUCCCGGGAAUCCUUUUGAAAAAAAGGCGUGCCCUUCGGGGAACCCGGUGACAGGUGCUGCACGGCUGUCGUCAGCUCGUGUCGUGAGAUGUUGGGUUAAGUCCCGCAACGAGCGCAACCCUUAUCUCUAGUUGCCAGCAUUCAGUUGGGGACUCUAGAGAUACUGCCCCGGUCAACGGGGAGGAAGGUGGGGAUGACGUCAAGUCCUCAUGGCCCUCAUGUCCAGGGCUACACACGUGCUACAAUGGGCUGUACAAAGGGUAGCAAUAUCGCGAGAUGGAGCCAAUCUCAAAAAGCAGCUCGUAGUUCGGAUUGGAAUCUGCAACUCGAUUCCAUGAAGUUGGAAUCGCUAGUAAUCGUGGAUCAGCACGCCACGGUGAAUACGUUCCCGGGCCUUGUACACACCGCCCGUCACACCAUGAGAGUUGGUUGUACCCGACGUCGCUGGGCCAACCCAUUCGGGAGGCAGGCGCCUAAGGUAUGGCUGAUGAUUGGGGUGAAGUCGUAACAAGGUA
Molecule: ribosomal RNA, 1264 nt
Filed under: metagenome
Description: bacterial SSU rRNA
Rfam family: Bacterial small subunit ribosomal RNA
Source: RNAcentral